GCCGAGCGGUAUUUGUCUUUCGGGACAGAGAGAGCGGCGUACGGGUGCGUAACMCKUGUGCAACCUACCUUUAUCUGGGAGAUAGCCUUUCGAAAGGAAGAUUAAUAUCCCAUAAUAUAUUGACUGGCAUCAGUUGAUAUUGAAAGCUCCGGCGGAUAGAGAUGGGCACGCGCAAGAUUAGAUAGUUGGUGAGGUAACGGCUCACCAAGUCUGUGAUCUUUAGGGGUCCUGAGAGGGAGAUCCCCCACACUGGUACUGAGACACGGACCAGACUCCUACGGGAGGCAGCAGUGAGGAAUAUUGGACAAUGGGUGAAAGCCUGAUCCAGCCAUCCCGCGUGAAGGAUGACGGUCCUAUGGAUUGUAAACUUCUUUUGUACAGGGAUAAACCUACCCUCGUGAGGGUAGCUGAAGGUACUGUACGAAUAAGCACCGGCUAACUCCGUGCCAGCAGCCGCGGUAAUACGGAGGGUGCAAGCGUUAUCCGGAUUUAUUGGGUUUAAAGGGUCCGUAGGCGGACCUGUAAGUCAGUGGUGAAAUCUCAUAGCUUAACUAUGAAACUGCCAUUGAUACUGCAGGUCUUGAGUA
RNAcentral lists this ribosomal RNA (587 nucleotides) under Chryseobacterium hagamense. RNAcentral describes it as "bacterial SSU rRNA". The record is from RNAcentral. Lineage: Bacteria; Pseudomonadati; Bacteroidota; Flavobacteriia; Flavobacteriales; Weeksellaceae.